UGGGGAAUAUUGCACAAUGGGCGAAAGCCUGAUGCAGCGACGCCGCGUGCGGGAUGAAGGCCUUCGGGUUGUAAACCGCUUUUGAUUGGGAGCAAGCGAGAGUGAGUGUACCUUUCGAAUAAGCACCGGCUAACUACGUGCCAGCAGCCGCGGUAAUACGUAGGGUGCAAGCGUUAUCCGGAAUUAUUGGGCGUAAAGAGCUCGUAGGCGGUUUGUCGCGUCUGGUGUGAAAGUCCAUCGCUUAACGGUGGAUCUGCGCCGGGUACGGGCAGGCUAGAGUGCGACAGGGGAGACUGGAAUUCCCGGUGUAACGGUGGAAUGUGUAGAUAUCGGGAAGAACACCAAUGGCGAAGGCAGGUCUCUGGGUCGUCACUGACGCUGAGGAGCGAAAGCGUGGGGA
RNAcentral lists this ribosomal RNA (400 nucleotides) under uncultured bacterium. RNAcentral describes it as "bacterial SSU rRNA". It matches the Rfam family "Bacterial small subunit ribosomal RNA", at positions 355 to 767 of the family's 1533-position model. The record is from RNAcentral.